ACAGUUCAUGAGCAUCAAAAGAUGGUGGAGGGUACAUGAGGCCAACCAUAACCUCUUUGAAAUGCGAUGAAAGCUGCUCCUUUAGUUCCUCAACCAGGUUCUGUGGGGGAGAAGAUGAAAAAUGAGAAAACAAACUGCUUCAAUGCUGCUCUUGAACUCCUUCAAGAAUCGCUGUCUGAUUAUCAAACUUAUCAGUCUUUUUCUCCAAUGUCGUUCAUUGAACAUCUAUUUGGCACCAACGAGCCAAACUCGGAACUCUGAGAGCUCACAGUCCAGUCAGCAGGUGAGGCUGGCACCAGCACAGCA
Molecule: non-coding RNA, 306 nt
Organism: Ictidomys tridecemlineatus (thirteen-lined ground squirrel)
Lineage: Eukaryota; Metazoa; Chordata; Mammalia; Rodentia; Sciuridae
Source: RefSeq, a predicted model, not a curated record